Long non-coding RNA from Gambusia affinis (western mosquitofish), 900 nucleotides. RefSeq lists it as uncharacterized. The transcript has 6 exons. Lineage: Eukaryota; Metazoa; Chordata; Actinopteri; Cyprinodontiformes; Poeciliidae. The record is from RefSeq and is a predicted model, not a curated record.
GUGAUCGGCGCCACCUUAGUAGACAUGCGCAAUGCACAUUAAACCCAUCGCUCCAAAACCAACAAAAAUAAAUUACGGUAUAUGGACACUGUACAUCAAUGUGCGAGAGAAAGAUACAUUAACAAAAUGGCUGGUGUUGGGAUCGAUCCCUUUGAGACGAAGAAGGAAAAUAUGUCAGUUGAUGUGGACAAGCUGCUUCCGAUCUCAUAUUACUAUACUUCACUACUGAACACGAAGAAUGAGUAAACAUGGAGGAGCUUCGCGGCCGGCUACACGUCCGUCUUAGCUAGCAGCUAAAAGCUACAUUAGCUCAGCUAAUUUUGCUAGUUCCAAAGCCUAAAACAGAUGGAAAAGGUGGAAAACUCUCCAGUUUCCGCUCACCGUUGCAGCGGUACCGCAGGUUGGCCCAGAUGAUGUUCUCCUGGGAGAAGCAGAAGACGCCCAGCCGGCCUCCUCUCAUCGUGGCGUCUAUGAUGACUCCGGUGUCUGCCACCAUCUGAGGGCCCUCAUAGAAACGGACUCUGCAGUAACAGCAGAGGGCAGCAAAGCAAAGAGUUUUCUUGCGCACCAUCCAAGUCCUCCUGCAGAGGGUUGGGCACCAGACGGCAGUUGUCAGGACCAGGCGGCAGCAGAAAACCUGAAGGUCUUUCUGCCCGUGUGCGAACCUGUGUGUUUGGGAUCCCAUCCCCAUCUGCGUCGUCAUCACAGGCAUCUCCAAUCCCAUCGUUGUCGGCGUCCUCCUGGCCGGAGUUCGGCACGGUCAGGUCAGGACAGUUCAGCUUCUCGUCAGGGAAACCAUCGAUGUCGGUGUCCGUUCCACACAGUGGCGUAAGCAAGUCCAACCCCCUGGACCUGAGGUCCGGUGUAUCCUGCAGGACAGGAACCGCAGCGGAAACCCGG